This 497-nucleotide ribosomal RNA is filed under the name uncultured bacterium. RNAcentral's name for it is "partial 16S ribosomal RNA". It matches the Rfam family "Bacterial small subunit ribosomal RNA", at positions 28 to 507 of the family's 1533-position model. The record is from RNAcentral.
GAUGAACGCUGGCGGCGUGCCUAACACAUGCAAGUCGAGCGAACAGACGAGGAGCUUGCUCCUCUGACGUUAGCGGCGGACGGGUGAGUAACACGUGGAUAACCUACCUAUAAGACUGGGAUAACUUCGGGAAACCGGAUCUAAUACCGGAUAAUAUAUUGAACCGCAUGGUUCAAUAGUGAAAUACGGUUUUUCUGUCACUUAUAGACGGAUCCGCGCCGCAUUAGCUAGUUGGUAAGGUAACGGCUUACCAAGGCAACGAUGCGUAGCCGACCUGAGAGGGUGGUCGGCCACACUGGAACUGAGACACGGUCCAGACUCCUACGGGAGGCAGCAGUAGGGAAUCUUCCGCAAUGGGCGAAAGCCUGACGGAGCAACGCCGCGUGAGUGAUGAAGGUCUUCGGAUCGUAAAGCUCUGUUAUUAGGGGAGAACAAAUGUGUAAGUAACUAUGCACGUAUUGACGGUACCUACUCAGAAAGCCACGGCUAACUACGUG